Molecule: ribosomal RNA, 404 nt
Filed under: Actinomycetes bacterium
Lineage: Bacteria; Bacillati; Actinomycetota; Actinomycetes
Description: Actinobacteria bacterium partial 16S ribosomal RNA
Rfam family: Bacterial small subunit ribosomal RNA
Source: RNAcentral
UGGGGAAUAUUGGUCAAUGGGCGCAAGCCUGAUCCAGCCAUGCCGCGUGAGUGAUGAAGGCCCUAGGGGUGUAAAGCUCUUUCACCGGUGAAGAUAAUGACGGUAACCGGAGAAGAAGCCCCGGCUAACUUCGUGCCAGCAGCCGCGGUAAUACGAAGGGGGCUAGCGUUGUUCGGAUUUACUGGGCGUAAAGCGCACGUAGGCGGACUUUUAAGUCAGGGGUGAAAUCCCGGGGCUCAACCCCGGAACUGCCUUUGAUACUGGAAGUCUUGAGUAUGGUAGAGGUGAGUGGAAUUCCGAGUGUAGAGGUGAAAUUCGUAGAUAUUCGGAGGAACACCAGUGGCGAAGGCGGCUCACUGGACCAUUACUGACGCUGAGGUGCGAAAGCGUGGGGAGCAAACAGG